UACGUAGGGUGCUAGCGUUGUUCGGAAUCAUUGGGCGUAAAGCGCGUGUAGGUGGUUAGUUAAGUCGGGUGUGAAAUCCCUGGGCUCAACCGAGGAAGUGCAUCCGAAACUAACUAGCUAGAGAAUGGUAGAGGAAGGUGGAAUUCCUAGUGUAGAGGUGAAAUUCGUAGAUAUUAGGAGGAAUACCGGUGGCGAAGGCGGCCUUCUGGACCAUUUCUGACACUGAGACGCGAAAGCGUGGGGAGCAAGCAGG
This 253-nucleotide ribosomal RNA is filed under the name uncultured bacterium. Its description in RNAcentral is "partial 16S ribosomal RNA". It matches the Rfam family "Bacterial small subunit ribosomal RNA", at positions 524 to 776 of the family's 1533-position model. The record is from RNAcentral.